AAUGCCUAGGGAAGGAAAAACACACCACUGCCAUUGUUUUUUUUUGCUGGAGAUAUUUUCUCGUUAUCAUUCUCUGCACCUUCUCAUGGUGAUGUAGCUUCUGGAAUAUUUUAAUAGUUUCUCCAGCAUUUUUGUCUACCUUCGAUUUUCCAGCAUCUGCAGUUCCUUCUUAAACUGGAAUAUUUUAAUACUUGUUUUUGCUGGAAUUUGUAAAGCGUGUAUAUCCUUGAACUGGAAACUUUAGUCAUGCUUGCUCUGAUACUACCUAAUUUAGUAACGGUUCAAUGUUAGCGGAGUGAACUGGACCCCCCCCUCUCCCCCCAAGAAUGCAUAUGAGCCCACAUCAAUUGUGCCCUCCCUUCAAAAAAAAACAAACAUGACCAAACUCAGUCGGGAAUGAUUUGGUUUGAGGUGAAAGAUAGGCAGGCAUUUGGACCAUAACCCCUGCUAUUACUGGUCCUUGGUAGGAUCUCCUUCAUGCAAUCUUGCAAUGUACUUGUAUGGAGACUGCAUGUGGUCUUGUAACUUGUUGUGGAGGGACAUGUUGCCAAAACCCGCUUCUGUUUAUGUGAAACCUUUGUACAUUAUCCUCGCCGGCAAAGCGAUUGGAAUCGCGGUGACCAUGAGUGCUCUAACCUUCCAGUUUGUGCUCGCUUCAGUCUACCCUUUUAAAAUAAAACUGGUCUCAUUAGUCUUGUGUAAAUUACAACAUGUCAGGAAUUGCUGGAUUCAAAACUUUCGAUGUCACCGAAUGUAUAUAUAUUAAAAAAAAAGCAAAACGUUACCGAAAGGACAUUUAAAAUUGGUCAACUUGAGCGUUCACCUGAAACGACGGAUUUCAUACACGUAUCCCGUAGAAAUAACACUGUACUUUGAACUUCUUCCCAUUCAUGUCACUUGUAUAACUCGAGGAAUGUCAUGUGAAAUAAAAUUGUUGCAUCUGCUAAA
Molecule: long non-coding RNA, 948 nt
Organism: Leucoraja erinaceus (little skate)
Lineage: Eukaryota; Metazoa; Chordata; Chondrichthyes; Rajiformes; Rajidae
Exons: 2
Source: RefSeq, a predicted model, not a curated record